Molecule: ribosomal RNA, 549 nt
Filed under: uncultured Glomeraceae
Lineage: Eukaryota; Fungi; Glomeromycota; Glomeromycetes; Glomerales; Glomeraceae
Description: SSU rRNA
Rfam family: Eukaryotic small subunit ribosomal RNA
Source: RNAcentral
UUGGAGGGCAAGUCUGGUGCCAGCAGCCGCGGUAAUUCCAGCUCCAAUAGCGUAUAUUAAAGUUGUUGCAGUUAAAAAGCUCGUAGUUGAAUUUCGGGGUCAGUAGGUUGGUCAUGCCACUGGUAUGUACUGGUCUUACUGAUUCCUCCUUCCUGAUGAACUGUAAUGCCAUUAAUUUGGUGUUGCAGGGAAUCUGGACUGUUACUUUGAAAAAAUUAGAGUGUUUAAAGCAGGCUAACGCCUGAAUACAUUAGCAUGGAAUAAUGAAAUAGGACGUUCGAUCCUAUUUUGUUGGUUUCUAGGAUUGACGUAAUGAUUAAUAGGGAUAGUUGGGGGCAUUAGUAUUCAAUUGUCGGAGGUGAAAUUCUUGGAUUUAUUGAAGACUAACUACUGCGAAAGCAUUUGCCAAGGAUGUUUUCAUUAAUCAAGAACGAAAGUUAGGGGAUCGAAGACGAUCAGAUACCGUCGUAGUCUUAACCAUAAACUAUGCCGACUAGGGAUCGGAUGAUGUUAAUUUUUUAAUGACUCAUUCGGCGCCUUACGGGAAAC